Molecule: long non-coding RNA, 3691 nt
Organism: Lolium perenne
Lineage: Eukaryota; Viridiplantae; Streptophyta; Magnoliopsida; Poales; Poaceae
Source: RefSeq, a predicted model, not a curated record
UUGUUUUUACCGCGCCGGUAUAAAAGAGGUUCCCGAGGAAACCCUAGCCGCAUUCGCGCCCUCCCUUGGCGUGCUGCUCGCGAGAGGCGGCUGGCGGCUGGCGCCGCUCCGCCUUCCUGGCUGGCCGCCCUGUCCUCCCCUCCCCUCGCGCCCCAUCCUCCGGCUCCUCCUAUGGGCCAGCGCCGCUGCCUCCCCGCCUCCUCCCCGCCGCCUUUUCCAUCCUGCUACAGCAACAGAGGAGACGCGGGUCUCCACGACGGCCACCAUGGCACAGCGGGGCGGGGCUUGGGGAAGGGCUGGCCUAGAGGAGGAGCAAGGUGGAGGAGGACCUUCAUGACGUGGCCAUGCCUUCUCCUCCCAGCUCGGCCAAAUUGGACUGCUGAGAUCUGUGGGCAGAGCUAUGAAUUAGACCACCUAUGUUGAAAUUUCUCAGAUCUUGAGUUUUCUCACGUAUGUGCUACUCCAGUCCGUGUGCAGUUUGGUAGAUGGAAUUAAAGUGCAGAUGACGGCGGAGCAGGAAGCCUUCCACUCCUACAGGAUUACCAAGAAUUUUCUUUUCACCCAAUUUAUAUCAUGGGUUCUAUACUUCUAUUAUCUAUUGGAAUUAUUUUUACUCUAAUAGCUUCUGGUGGUUUGUAUGUACGAGGUUUGCCUACGAAAUAACACUGACCAUACUACAGUAUCUUCGUAUAUAAGUGCCUACGAAAUAACACCGACCAUAAAGGCAUGUUGCCAUUGGAAACAAAAUGUAUACUCUAUUUUUGACUUUGGUCGACUGAAAUCAUGGCUUAGAAAUCAACAUCACAGCCUCUUGGACACAUAAGAUAUGUGUUCUCGCUGAUGUUUUCAGGUCAAAUUCAUUCACCCUGAUGCUUCAUGUGAUUUACUUAUGUCCCUAAUGCUACGAAUUCUGAAUCCAACACAUGUCUACCAAAUAUUCUUAAUUUAGUCUCCUUAAUUAGGUUUGUAUGUACUGAAUAUACUGCAGCUAGAGGAAAACUUUUCCUAGAAAACUGAAAGACUCAUGCAAGAUGUUAAAAUAAUCUUAGCUUUAUCUUUUGGGUAAUAUCAGUACCACUUCAGUGAUAAUCUUACUUUUAACUACACGUAUACUAUUAAUAGUUCUGAGCUAACUAAGAUGUUGUACAAGCCCGAGGCAACCUUGUUUGCAAAGAUCAUAAUUUCCGAUAUAGUAGUAUGGAACUAUUAGCAUCUAAAUGAAGGUAGUGUCAUUUAAAUGAAGCCAGCGUGAGUGUCAACAAGUGAUGUAAUAUCAAUAAUUUUGCACUCUCUUCUUUGCCUAACUUCAGCUCUUUUUGGAAGAAAUAACUUACCUAUUUCUUAUUCUUUAGUAUGUAUCUCGCACUCAAGGCACUGGAUUCUGGGUUGCUUGCCAAGAUGAUUGGCAUAGCAUGACUCCUGUCAGAGGUGUUUUGCUUCUACUCCUGGAUUUAUGCUGCAAAGCUGUUGAUAAAGCUACUAUAUAAGAAAACUGCACAACAAAUACAUCUAGAGAGCGAGAGAUACAGGCUGGUUUAAACAAUGUAUAAUGGUUUGUGCCAGUCCACAGGUGUAUUCUUCACGUCCAAAGAAUCUCAUUUAUAUGUUCUAUUAUGUGUGGCACAAGAAUUAAAGGUUACUAGGACCCCUGAGCUCACGAGAUUGAGGUGGCAAGGUCAGAUCUCCCUCUUUUCCAUGAAAUUGACCCGAAGGACCCAUUGAAAGCAUUGGAAAUUUGAACAAUGUACUGCAUGGUUUAAUUAUCCAGAAGGCAAGGUCUUCUUGGCGAUGAUGCAAGGAUUGACAUCUGCUUGGUAGCUCUGUAGAUUGGUUGCCCUUUAUUCAUUCUUUGCGGCUCUCCUUUUGCCGCCAUCUACUUCCACCGAGGCAUUCCUCUUCAUUCUAUAACAAGAUGGUGUUCUCUAGCGAGGAAGAUGUGCCCUGGCUGCUGCUUCACAUGUCAACAUGUGUGUCCUUCACUGGCAGCUGAUGUUUCUCUGUUGUCUCCCAGUACCAUAUGUUCGCUUUAUAUGUGUGAUCUUCACUGGCAGAUGAGGCUUCCCUAUUGUCGUUCUUCAAGUGCUCCGUUUAUGCGCCCAAUACGUAUGCUGCCCGUAACACAUGUCCAUUAGUUAGUUAAAAGUCUACGCUUACUUUGGUAAACAGGAAAGUAAAAUUGAGACAUAAAUGGCUUACCAUCUUUAUUCUAGAAUGUAGAAUGUGGUUUGGAACUGCAUCCAUCUGAAAGUUAAGCCACGCACACAAUGCUUCACAGGUACAGGAAACAAUUAUUGAAUUAAGAGUCUGGUUUAGGAAUACAAGCAAAAUUCUACAUUGAUUCUUUGGUUUAUAUACUUUUCUAUAAAGUAGUGUCAGAAAAUGCGUCUAUUCAACUUUCCUGUCCUUUUCCGUAAUAAUCAUGUUAUUCUUUAGAAUAUAAAUUAUUGUCGACUCAGUUUCUACCCAGCCUAAUUAAGAUGCAUGAAAUCCAUUAGUGUUGUAUUUCAUUUGCAUAGCAUGAUUUGAGCACAUCAAUAUUAUGUGAUUCCAGACUCCAGGAGAUCCUUGGCUGCGAAUGUGUUCUGACUUCAGAUUUCUUAGAGUUGGUUUCUCAGCGCUUACCUAAACGACAUAUCAUAUCUUCAUUAAUAGGUUAGAUUCUCGCUGUGUUCCUCUUUCCAUUUUCAACUACUGAAUUUACUGCAUAUGGUAGUGCUAAUUAACACCUCUAGAUUUUUUUGAUGGUAAAAUAUUUGUUCCCGCAUUAAUUCCCUUUGUUCUACCAACUGUUGUCCAUGCAGAUCUAGGAUUGCAGUGCUAGCAGAUAGGCCUAACUUCACACAUUAUGGUGUUUUUGGCAAAAUGGCCAGCAUAGCUAAUGUAGCUCUUUCCCCAGUAUUCUUCAUUGCCAAUCUUUAAGCCCUUGUGGCUUGAGAUUUUAUCCAUAUAUUUAUUUAAAGGAUGAGGUGCAGAAGCAGCAGUAGGUAAUUCUAUGGUAACCAUCGCACAAUAAUAUACCUAUAAUCUUUUUAAUGGGUACAAUAUAAAAAUAUGACCCUUUGAUCUCCAUAUGGGUAAAGUUAUUCAGUUUUGAGUUUUAGUAUGCAGCCACUAUUUCAGUUCGAGAUUUUAUCCAUAUAUUUAUUUAAAUGAAGAAGUGCAGAAGCAGUUGUUAAUUCUAUAGUAACCAUUGCACAGUAAUGUACCUAUAAUCUUUUUAAUGGGUACACUGCGAAAUUAUGAAUCUUUGAUCUCCGUAUGGGUGAAGUUAUUCAACUUUGAGUUUUCGUAUGCAGCAGCUAUUUCAGUUUGAGUGGUUUGGCUAGAUGGGACAUUGAGUUCACAUUGUUGUAACUAUUUGAGUUUGAGUGUGCACUUUUGUUGACAGGCAAUUGGACAAGUACCUGACUGUUGUUGGACCGACCGCACCUGAUUGGGUCCUGUCCGGAAGCACCACCCCUUUUAGAGGGUUAGCUUAGUUGGCAAUCCACAACAAUGAAGCUUCAGAUACUUAUUCUAAACAGGUUAAUUAUAUUGAAGUUUGGACAUACCAGAGAUCAACCGGCGAGAAGCAUGUAACCAAAGAAUCAGCCUAGAAUCAAGUAUUUUGUCCAGGACCUGCAAUGGAAAAUAUAAGACACUUAUCUAGCACUGUAUUCUAUGUUAGCUCGAAGGAAAAACACUUAGUUAA